Molecule: unclassified non-coding RNA, 1901 nt
Filed under: Hevea brasiliensis (rubber tree)
Lineage: Eukaryota; Viridiplantae; Streptophyta; Magnoliopsida; Malpighiales; Euphorbiaceae
Source: RNAcentral
AUUAGGUCAUAUGCCAUAGCAAAACCAGGAUGCUUUUAAAGGUAUGGACUAAUUCUGCUAAUGAACAUGUGGUUGAUUAAUCACGUGAUGCCAUUUCCUGCUUUGCUACUAAUAAAAUGUAAUAUGGUACUGUUUUGUGAGAGUGGGUUAGAUACUUCAAAUCGAUGCUUUCAAAUAACAAUAUCUCCACAUGUAUCAGUUAUCCUUCUAUUAGGUUAAUUUGCAUUCUUUAAUAUCUAUUAAGCAUUCUUUUUCUUGAAAUAUUGCAUUGCCUUUGAGUAGACUUGGUAUUAAUUAAGUCUUUAAGUACCUAUCAGUUUGCCUAUUUCUUUGCUCAGACGUUUGAAUGCACCUCUUUUAGAUGAUUUUUGAAUUCGACAUACAAUGUAAUCUCUUUGAUGUCUUUCUCGCUGAAAUAAACUAUUUGCUGACCAUUUACUUCAUGUGUUUUGAGUUGUGAUAUUCAGAUUGAGUCUCUGUUUAUGUUUUUGCUAGUGUUUUGGUAUUAAUGCAUUGAUAUAGCAGCAGAGAUCAAAUAAUUUGGCUUGCUGCUUCAUGCCAUGAAAGUUUAGCUUUUUUCACAAAAAGAAGGAUACGAUGAAAUCAGGGUGGAGAGUUAAAUAAUACUGAUUGCUUAUGUAUCCUCAGUAUAUUCAUGCUAUUGUGGCUGAAAAGUAGAUUUUAGGUAUAUAUGUUAGUGAAUUGGAUUUCAAACUUACUUCAAAAUUACUUCCAUUUUCAUUGUAACUGAGCUUUAGCGAGUUUUUAUUUCUCCAUGUAAUUACAUUGCCUGUUUUGUUUUCAUCAGGAUAACGAUGCAGAUGAUCCAAUAGACACUCCAGGUUAUUAUCAUUAUAUCAUGUGAAAAUUUGGGGAUUCUUUUUUCCUGAAGAACAUCUCAUCAAAGUCAAGGUCAUGUUUUAGUGUUAAAGCUAUUUUACUGGGUUUCCUUCCCCUGCCAGUUCUUUGAUUCCUAGACUUAUUUAUUUAUUAUGCUGCUUCUCAAACCAUUUUUUUACAGUUUAGCUAGCCCUCAUUUUCUCACACACAGAGAAGUAUCCGAAUGAGCCUCCAUUACUAAAUGUGAAAAGGCAUCUGAAAAUCUUGGUAUGAUAUGGUCUACACUCUGGUUACAUCAGCUAAAGAGUGGUUGUCUGAAAAGUAUGGUCAAGAUGCCAGCAAUAAUAACAUUAAAGACGAAUAGGCAGCAAAACAAGAUGUGUUUGCUUUAUUUUUCAAGGAGCUGCUUUUUUCACCUUUUCCUUUACAGAUAAUUGCACCACAUGGAGAACCUGUUACUGUUGAUACAUUUCUGGCCUGAAGAGAAAGAUUUGAAGCAGAGUUGGCACUUGAGAGAGCCAAGCUGAUGCCCAAGUCUGCACUUACAGCCCCUAAGGAGAAGAAGCUAGCAGGCAGACAAUGGUUUGAAAGUGGCAGAGUGAAAGGAGCAGCCCAAGUUAAAGAAGGAUCUGAUGAGGAAGAAGAAGAGGACAUUGACUUUGAUGAUGAUGAUUUUGAAGGUGAUUCUUUAUGUUUGUUAUAUAUGAUUUGACGUUUUGCAAUAAAUAUUUUAUUAUUUGAUUGUAUCAUGUAAACUAAUGUGAUUCUAAACCUUUAUUAGGGGUGGCAAUUAUGGUUGACGAAUUGUAUUCGAGUCAUGUCAAUACGCGACACGAAUACGAUCAAGAUCGACAUGAACACGACAUAAUUAAUAAAUCGUAUCAAAAAUUUAAAAACGAAUACGACAUUUUUAUUAUACAGGUACGACACGACACGAUUAAUAUUAAAUUGUAUUAGGUUUAUUCAACAAGACACUAUCCAUUUAACACGAAAUGUGGUUUGAUAUGUCUUAACGCAUUUAACACGCUAUAUAAGUAGGUUAAUGGGUCAUAGUGGGUCAA